AGAACGAACGCUGGCGGCAGGCUUAACACAUGCAAGUCGAGCGCUGUAGCAAUACAGAGCGGCAGACGGGUGAGUAACGCGUGGGAAUCUACCCAACUCUACGGAAUAACUCAGGGAAACUUGUGCUAAUACCGUAUACGCCCUUCGGGGGAAAGAUUUAUCGGAGUUGGAUGAGCCCGCGUUGGAUUAGCUAGUUGGUGGGGUAAAGGCCUACCAAGGCGACGAUCCAUAGCUGGUCUGAGAGGAUGAUCAGCCACAUUGGGACUGAGACACGGCCCAAACUCCUACGGGAGGCAGCAGUGGGAAUAUUGGACAAUGGGCGCAAGCCUGAUCCAGCCAUGCCGCGUGUGUGAUGAAGGCCUUAGGGUGUAAAGCACUUUCACCGGAGAAGAUAAUGACGGUAUCCGGAAGAAGAACGCCCGGACUAACUUCGUGACCAGCAGCCGC
This 447-nucleotide ribosomal RNA is filed under the name uncultured soil bacterium. RNAcentral describes it as "bacterial SSU rRNA". It matches the Rfam family "Bacterial small subunit ribosomal RNA", at positions 26 to 518 of the family's 1533-position model. The record is from RNAcentral.